Molecule: ribosomal RNA, 468 nt
Filed under: uncultured bacterium
Lineage: Bacteria
Description: partial 16S ribosomal RNA
Rfam family: Bacterial small subunit ribosomal RNA
Source: RNAcentral
UCCCAGACUCCUACGGGAGGCAGCAGUGAGGAAUAUUGGUCAAUGGGCUUACGCCUGAACCAGCCAAGUCGCGUGAGGGAAGACUGCCCUAUGGGUUGUAAACCUCUUUUGUCAGGGAGCAACGCCGGCUACGUGUAGCCGGACUGAGAGUACCUGAAGAAAAAGCACCGGCUAACUCCGUGCCAGCAGCCGCGGUAAUACGGGGGGUGCAAGCGUUGUCCGGAAUCAUUGGGCGUAAAGCGUUCGUAGGCGGUAUGUCAAGUCUGAUGUUAAAGCCCGGGGCUCAACUCCGGUUCGGCAUUGGAUACUGGCAAACUAGAAUGUGGUAGAGGUAAAGGGAAUUCCUGGUGUAGCGGUGAAAUGCGUAGAUAUCAGGAGGAACAUCGGUGGCGAAAGCGCUUUACUGGACCAUUAUUGACGCUGAGGAACGAAAGCCAGGGGAGCAAAUGGGAUUAGAUACCCGAGUAA